Molecule: ribosomal RNA, 732 nt
Filed under: Dietzia sp. CR-49
Lineage: Bacteria; Bacillati; Actinomycetota; Actinomycetes; Mycobacteriales; Dietziaceae
Description: bacterial SSU rRNA
Rfam family: Bacterial small subunit ribosomal RNA
Source: RNAcentral
UGCAAGUCGAACGGUAAGGCCCCUUCGGGGGUACACGAGUGGCGAACGGGUGAGUAACACGUGGGUAAUCUGCCCUGCACUUCGGGAUAAGCCUGGGAAACUGGGUCUAAUACCGGAUAUGAGCUCCUGCCGCAUGGUGGGGGUUGGAAAGUUUUUCGGUGCAGGAUGUGCCCGCGGCCUAUCAGCUUGUUGGUGGGGUAAUGGCCUACCAAGGCGACGACGGGUAGCCGGCCUGAGAGGGUGAUCGGCCACACUGGGACUGAGACACGGCCCAGACUCCUACGGGAGGCAGCAGUGGGGAAUAUUGCACAAUGGGCGGAAGCCUGAUGCAGCGACGCCGCGUGGGGGAUGACGGUCUUCGGAUUGUAAACUCCUUUCAGUAGGGACGAAGCGAGAGUGACGGUACCUGCAGAAGAAGCACCGGCCAACUACGUGCCAGCAGCCGCGGUAAUACGUAGGGUGCAAGCGUUGUCCGGAAUUACUGGGCGUAAAGAGCUCGUAGGCGGUUUGUCACGUCGUCUGUGAAAUCCUCCAGCUCAACUGGGGGCGUGCAGGCGAUACGGGCAGACUUGAGUACUACAGGGGAGACUGGAAUUCCUGGUGUAGCGGUGAAAUGCGCAGAUAUCAGGAGGAACACCGGUGGCGAAGGCGGGUCUCUGGGUAGUAACUGACGCUGAGGAGCGAAAGCAUGGGGAGCAAACAGGAUUAGAUACCCUGGUAGUCCAUGCCGUA